This 454-nucleotide long non-coding RNA is filed under the name Homo sapiens (human). RNAcentral's name for it is "non-protein coding lnc-LYPLA1-3:1". The record is from RNAcentral. Lineage: Eukaryota; Metazoa; Chordata; Mammalia; Primates; Hominidae.
UGCCACGUGGAAGCCGAAGCCACACCUCCUACAGGGCCCCUCCCACCAGCCAGGCACCUCAGAUGAGAGCUACACCCAGGCUAGCACCAGCAGCUCAGCCGCCAGCAGUGGCACCCCCAUCUGCAGUUGGCUCUCCUGCUCCUGCACCCCGGCAGCCAAGUCUGAUGGCCCAAAUGGCAACCACUGCAGCUGGCGUGGCUGUAGGCUCUGCUGUGGGUCACACACUGGGUUAUGCCCUCACUGGGAGCUUCAGUGGAGGAAGUAAUGGUGAGCCUGCAAAACUUGACAUCACUUACCAGCAGCAUCAGGGAACCUGGCCAGCACAGCAGCAGCAGCCUUGUUUCCAUGAGAUCAAACAGUUUUUGGAGUGUGCCCAGAACCAGGGUGACACCAACAAGCUCUGUGGGGCUUUCAAGAGGUUCUCAAACAGUGCAGACUUGCAAACAGAUAGGCC